This 466-nucleotide ribosomal RNA is filed under the name uncultured bacterium. Its description in RNAcentral is "partial 16S ribosomal RNA". It matches the Rfam family "Bacterial small subunit ribosomal RNA", at positions 28 to 507 of the family's 1533-position model. The record is from RNAcentral.
GAUGAACGCUGGCGGCGUGCUUAACACAUGCAAGUCGAACGAUGAAGCCCAGCUUGCUGGGUGGUUUCGUGGCGAACGGGUGAGUAACACAUGAGUAACCUGCCCUCCACUCUGGGAUAAGCCUGUGCAACUGAGUCUAAUACCUGACAGGAGCGACCACCGCCCGGAGGGUGUAGGAGAGAUUGAUCGGUUUUGGAUGGCCUCUCGGCCUAUCAGCUUGUUGGUGAGGUAAUGGCAGCCCAAGGCGACGCCGGGUAGCCGGCCCUGGAGGGUGGCCGGCGACAAGGGGACUGCGACACGGCGCAGACGCCUACGGGAGGCAGUAGUGGGGAAUCUUGCACAACGGGCGCAAGCCUGAUGCAGCGGCGUCGCGUGCGGGAUGACGGCUUUCGGGGUGUAAACCUCUUUCAGUAGGGAAGAAGCGAAAGUGACGGUACCUGCAGAAGAAGCACCGGCUAACUACGUG